This 465-nucleotide ribosomal RNA is filed under the name Vreelandella stevensii. RNAcentral describes it as "partial 16S ribosomal RNA". It matches the Rfam family "Bacterial small subunit ribosomal RNA", at positions 338 to 795 of the family's 1533-position model. Lineage: Bacteria; Pseudomonadati; Pseudomonadota; Gammaproteobacteria; Oceanospirillales; Halomonadaceae. The record is from RNAcentral.
CCUACGGGUGGCAGCAGUGGGGAAUAUUGGACAAUGGGCGAAAGCCUGAUCCAGCCAUGCCGCGUGUGUGAAGAAGGCCUUCGGGUUGUAAAGCACUUUCAGUGGGGAAGAAAGCCUUGGGGCUAAUACCCUCGAGGAAGGACAUCACCCACAGAAGAAGCACCGGCUAACUCCGUGCCAGCAGCCGCGGUAAUACGGAGGGUGCGAGCGUUAAUCGGAAUUACUGGGCGUAAAGCGCGCGUAGGCGGUCUGAUAAGCCGGUUGUGAAAGCCCCGGGCUCAACCUGGGAACGGCAUCCGGAACUGUCAGGCUAGAGUGCAGGAGAGGAAGGUAGAAUUCCCGGUGUAGCGGUGAAAUGCGUAGAGAUCGGGAGGAAUACCAGUGGCGAAGGUGGCCUUCUGGACUGACACUGACGCUGAGGUGCGAAAGCGUGGGUAGCAAACAGGAUUAGAUACCCCAGUAGUC